GAUGAAGAACGUAGCGAAAUGCGAUACUUGGUGUGAAUUGCAGAAUCCCGUGAACCAUCGAGUCUUUGAACGCAAGUUGCGCCCGAAGCCAUUAGGCCGAGGGCACGCCUGCCUGGGCGUCACACGUCGUUGCCCCCCCAUCUACUCCUUCGGGAUUGCGGGGGGCGGAUGAUGGCCUCCCGUGCGCCUCGUCGCGCGGUUGGCAUAAAUGCCAAGUCCUCGGCGACGCACGCCACGACAAUCGGUGGUUGCGAAACCUCGGUUGCCCGUCGUGUGCGGUCGUCGCGCAUCGAGGGCUCGAAAAAAUUGCCGGGCUCCGGCUCGGCUUUCAACGCGACCCCAGGUCAGGCGGGGUUACCCGCUGAAUUUAAGCAUAUCUAAGCGGAGGA
Molecule: unclassified non-coding RNA, 389 nt
Filed under: soil metagenome
Description: partial contains 5.8S ribosomal RNA, internal transcribed spacer 2, and large subunit ribosomal RNA
Rfam family: 5.8S ribosomal RNA (bases 1-122)
Source: RNAcentral